Molecule: non-coding RNA, 1180 nt
Organism: Sesamum indicum (sesame)
Lineage: Eukaryota; Viridiplantae; Streptophyta; Magnoliopsida; Lamiales; Pedaliaceae
Source: RefSeq, a predicted model, not a curated record
GAGAUGAUAGAGGAGCUGGUUAUGAAAGAGAUGUGCCCAGAGAAAAAGAUGGCGGGCGCGAUCAUGAUUGGUCAGAAAGGAGACAUCGUGAUGACAAAGAUGUCGGAAGAGACAGGGAAAGGGAGCGUGACAGGGAUCGUGAGCGGUCCCUAGACCAUGAACGUGGCCGUGAACGGGAACGGGAACGGGAACGCCAUAGGGACGAUAGAGACAGAUAUGCAGAUCAUCAUAGGCACAGGAAUCGUGAAGCGGAAUAUGAUGAUGAAUGGGACAGGGGAAGAUCAAGGACUCAUAGCAAGUCAAGGGUGUCCCAUGAGGAAGAGCAUAGAUCCAGAUCAAGGGAUGCUGAUUAUGGGAAAAGGCGACGCCUAACCUCUGAAUAACUCAGAUGCAUUGCAGAAUGUUCUAGGAUUUAGUUCAUCAGAAAAAAAAAAAAAAAAAAAAAAAAAAGACUAGACACUAAAUAAAUGAUGUUAACCAUGAUCAUCCAGAGUCUAUUGCUAGCUGCUUUGUUGGAUGCCUGACACAUUGGAACUAUUUUGCUUUUUGAUAUUGUUCAAGGCUUCAGUGUUCUGAUGAGACCUUUGAAAGACACAGCUUAUUAGCGAGCAUGAUUCAACUGGAAGGAUAUGAAUUUUCAUCUGAAGCAGUUCAGCUGAAGUCUGGAUUCUUGGAAAAUAGAUGGGACAUAAAGCUUCUAGUUAAGAGAGGAUGAGAUGGCAUGGUGACACCUCUUAGCAUGCUAGUGGAACCCUUUUCUCUUUCAGUUUUCAGACAUUUCAUUUAUGUUUGAGUUUUAAUAUGGCUUUAAACAAAUGUUAUGGAUGAUGGGUUAAAAUGCUGAAGUCUGAGAUAUGGUGGAUGUUUAAGAAUAUGUUAUUGUAUGAAUGUGAUGUAUUAGAUUAAAGACACAGGAUGUUGCGAUUUUUGCCCCCUUUUUUGUUUUCAUUUUUGUUGUAAUUCUUUACCCCUUGUUUUUUGUCGGGUAUAUCAUGUUUGAUCGCUGCAAUUUUCUUGUUUCAAAGAUGAUGUAGAGUGCUAACUGUAGUCCUUUAACCUGUGUAAAUCUGGGGUUUGUAUAUAGAAAUCGCAUGUAUAUAGGAAAGCCAUCUCUUUGUACAAAAAUAUGUAUUCUUUUGUACAUACGCAAUCACAUCUAUGUAUAUUUGUGGUUUUGUAA